Molecule: long non-coding RNA, 1346 nt
Organism: Mustela erminea (ermine)
Lineage: Eukaryota; Metazoa; Chordata; Mammalia; Carnivora; Mustelidae
Exons: 3
Source: RefSeq, a predicted model, not a curated record
UGUUGCUCCCGCCUGCACGCGCCCGGGGGGACCCGAGGCUGGCCCACCUGCGGGCAGUGGUCAGCGGGCCGUGGAGCCCGGAUUCCGAGGUCGAAACCGAGUUCCUGUCCCAGCUGGAUGCCCUUGGGCGGAGAUGGGGUCCCCAAGGUGGAGCUCCUGGGGAUGGGGUUAGCGCGCUUCUAACAGAGACCCCAGGGAGCUCGUGGGGAGGGUCCCCAUGUGGGGUCCCAGACACCUGGACGCCAGAGUCCCGCGGGGCUCGCUGUGCCGCCAACCCGCCCUGCCCUGUCUGUGGCAUCGAGUUCCAGCAGCCCGUGGGGGUUCACAAGACCUCCGUCAGCCCCAGCCCACCCAACUCGGGGUCACUCCGGAGAGACGAUGGCCCCGGGGUGCUGAGAUGGGGCAGGAGCUCAGAUGUGCAGCUCACCAGGACCUCGCGGGGUUGACAUCCCCUGGCUGGUGAUGGGGGGCGUGAACAAGAGACAAGGAUCUUGGAGGACAGGGAUCACGCUUCGACAUCUCUGUCCAGCCUAGUAGCGGACGAGCUCUUCGCUGACCUCGAGGCCACAGGGGACACUUGGAGGACGUCAGGACGGGUCAGAGCUGCUGGAGGCACAGAGCGGCGGAGGAAUGGGCGAGCAGCCCUGCUGUUACCUCCUCGUUUAUACGUGAGAAAAUGAGAGACCCAUCCAGAGUCACCCCGAGUAGACGGGGACUCUGCAACACCAGGUUGGCCUGACCCCGAAGCUGAUGAUCUUAACCACGGACCAUAAUGCUUCCAGGCCCUGCUUUUUACCCAGAAGACAUACACCACACACUCAUCCCCAGCAGAACGGUGACUUACAACUACGUUUACACAUGUGUAAAAGAAAUUAUGAAUACGAGUACAAAUGUACUCUGUUUGCAAAUAGAGUAAUGGAAAUGCUGUUUGGAAGUUUAGAAAAACACACGCUAAGGGGAAAAAAAAAACAAGAACCCAAAAUCGAAUUUACAAAUCAUUCAUACAACAGUAACAACGAGAAUUAUGUAUUAUGACAAAAGAUGAAAACUCAGCAGAAAAACUAGCAAAGGGUGUGAUUAGGAAGCUGAAGAAAGUUGCACACAUGGCCCAAAAUAAACGGGAAAAGGUUCAGAUUUUCUAACUAAAGAAAGAGAAACUAGAGCAAGAAAGGGUUUUGGAAAAUGACGAAGCCCUCUGUUGGAAAUGCUGUAGGGAGAGCGAUGAUUAGGAGGACACUUUGCUGUGCUGUGAUGGGGAGUGUAAAUGCUUCUGAGGACAAGCCCCCCCCCCCUUUCUUUAAAAGAUUUUAUGUAUUUAUUUGACAGACAGAGAGCACAAGUAGGCA